Long non-coding RNA from Mauremys reevesii (Reeves's turtle), 916 nucleotides. RefSeq lists it as uncharacterized. The transcript is spliced from 4 exons. Lineage: Eukaryota; Metazoa; Chordata; Testudines; Geoemydidae. The record is from RefSeq and is a predicted model, not a curated record.
CUCACUCCCCAACCCCCCAUCGCGGCCUCCCCUCUGCACCAGGCUGGGUUCCCCCACCCAUGAAUUUGGACCCUGUCACUAAAAAGAUAAAAUGCAGUUGGUGGGUCGCCUUAGUAAAUAGAUUAGGUGGUGCUCUCGGCUCCCUCUGCUGGAGAGAAGGGGACAAGCCAGCUGUGGCCAGCUUCAGUUAGAGUCCUAGGGUUACGGCCCGAAGGCCAGUCUGACCUGCAUGGCACCAGCCACCAGCAAGGGUUUUUGGCCGUUAAAAUCUGGUCGGCGGUGCAGCAGGGGCCCGGGGCUAAGGCAGGCUCUUGGCCUACCCUAGCUCCACGCAGCUCCUGGAAGCUGCCACCAGGUCUGUGCGGCCCCUAGGUGCUGGGGUGGCCAGGUACGCUCCCGCCCCUAUUGCCGGCUCUGUAGCUCCCAUUGGCCAGGGAUCGCAACUAAUGGGAGCUGCGGGGGUAGCGCCUGCAGCCUGGCAGCUGCUUCCUAGGAGCCACAGAGAUGACCAGCAGAGGAGGGCCACUCUCGGAUGCCCUUGGCUACCACUAAGACUAAGUCAACCAAUAGUAUCCCCAAGAGGGAGCAUCAGAACAUCGUCUGGUACAGCCGACAGACUGCACGUCCCAGUGCCGCGUCAGAUCUAGAGACAUGAGGGGGAAAAGCAUCAUAUUGGGAGAAGACCCUGCAGAUUUCAGAGCAACGGAGGAGUCCCAACUGAAAAAAAAGUGGUGAAUCAAGUGUCAGUGAUAAAUGGGAGUCCAGCAACUGAACUAGUCUUGGUACCGUGGAAACCUUGGUGCCCAGAAUCAGCAGAGACUUCCUCUACUAUGGCUAGGUCCAUAAUGAAUCAAAAUCCCUGCAGUACCGAAUGGGGUGACAGCACUGACGCAAUUGUCUCUGGAAGCUGACAAUA